CUCAAAAAUAAACAAGUCACCUGGAAACUCCAUUAAAACGCAAAUGUCCCUGUGCAGCAGAAAUGAUGGAAGUGCUUUAAGUGCAGUAGACAGGCCCAAUGGUGGAGAAGAGGGAAGAGUGGCUUGAAGACAGUAUUACUGGACCCUGCAGCUGUAAGGAUUAGAUCACCAGCACUUCCAGGAGUUUCCAAAGGCUGCCGAUUGACUCCAGACAGGCCUAUUGAAGUUUAAUUAGACUUAACCAUGAAAGAGCCUCCUCCCUAAUGAGGAACAGGUUUGCCCUGAAGCUCACAUGGGAUGUAUGAAGAGCUACAGGGAAAGAGAUGAGCAGAGAAGAAUGUUGGCAUUUGUGGCCUGCAGACUGUACUGAGAGAGGAGCAAUCUUAAGGGAAUGUGAGGCAUUAAGUGCUUCAGAUGUCUGGUUACUACCACUACUGUUGGGAUAAUUCUGAGUCUUUUGGCAAGCUGCUUCGCACCAAAGUGAUUCUGGAACAUUAGAAACAUGAAAGAGGGAGGAAGUGACAGAACGAGAGAGGGGGAGAGACUGGGGGUUAGAGGUAGGAAAAGAAGUUGCAGUUAAACAAUCCUGACGUCUGGGGAUGCUGCAGCCCCCUCAGCACCCCUACUUCCCACGUCCCUGAGAAUGAUGAUAUAGGGAGGUGGAUGGCUGGAUGGAAGGAUGGACAGAUGGAUGACAGAGAAAGGGCAAGGUCUCUCAGUUCAAGGCCCACUGCAGUGCCAGGGUGAGGAUGAGGAUGGUGAAGGUGGGCAGAGUGAGUGGAGCAUUGCUGGAUCCAGGAUUGGAGUAUCUUACAGAAGGUUCAUGAGGAGGAGCCAUCACCACAUCAGUACCUUUGGUAGAGUCUGUAAGGGCGAGAGAGUAAGAGAGAGAGGGAGAGAGAAAGAGAGAGAGCAGUCAUUCUUUUUAUUCUUUCCAUUAGAAAUUUUCUUUUUGUCCAUGAUCCCAAUCUGAGUCAUUUAAAGGGCUCAUAUCAGAAAUUCCUCAUUUUUCUGAAAUGUUUGAAAGUUUCAAAACGUUCCAUUCACUUCCCAGUCCAUACAGUGCAUGUAUGGAAAUCAGUUUACAUAAAGCAUAUUCACAUAUAAGCCCCUAUUCAGACUACAGAUGUUUAGCUCCACCCAUUCACACUUAAGUUAUAAAGAGUGUUUCAGCCCAGACUGCCUUGGCAGCCAAUCAGGAAACUCAAUUUUAUAAAUCAAUAUUAAAAGCACAGUAAAAAAAAACAUGUCAAUGGGAUGAAGAGAGGUUGAAAGGCAUGUAUGAAUGAAUUAUGACUUUAUGGUACAAACUCAGCUCCAAAAAUUUGGGACAGUAGGAGAACUGUAAAUAAAAACAAAGCAAUAACAAAUUCUUUUUGACCUGCAUACAAUUGAAAACACCAAAGAUAUAUAAUCUUUCAGCUAAUUAAGUCUAUUGUUUUUUGUAUAUACGCUUAUUCUAAAUUUAAUGCGUCCAACAUGUUCCAAAAAAGUUGAACCCAUGAUACUGAAACCAUGAUACUAUCAACUGUUAAUUAUUCACCUCUUUGCCUGUGGAAAGCACAGCUGUUGAUCAUUCCACAAACUUCCCAGUAUUACACUGCCCGUGUCCCAGCUUUUCUGGAAUGCGUUGCAGGCAUCAAAUUUGUAAUUACCAUAUAUUUACAAAAAUCAACAGUUGAUAAGAUAAAAUAUUAAAUCUCUUCUUUGUGCUAUUUUUAAUUCAAUACAUGUAAGUCACUGUUUUCUGUUUUUGUUUGCAUUUUGCCUUCUAACCCAACAUAAACAUACAGAAUAAGUGGGGCUCAAGGGAAAAAAAAACAAACAAAGCAAGU
Colossoma macropomum (tambaqui) is the source of this 1835-nucleotide long non-coding RNA. RefSeq lists it as uncharacterized. NCBI's taxonomy places the organism in Eukaryota, Metazoa, Chordata, Actinopteri, Characiformes, Serrasalmidae. The record is from RefSeq and is a predicted model, not a curated record. The transcript has 6 exons.